UACGUAAGCAGCAAGCGUUGUUCGGAAUUACUGGGCGUAAAGAGUGUGUAGGCGGUGUUCUAAGUUUGUCGUGAAAUCUCCCGGCUUAACUGGGAGGGUGCGGCGAAAACUGGAAUGCUAGAGGAUGGGAGAGGUAAGCGGAAUUCCUGGUGUAGCGGUGAAAUGCGUAGAUAUCAGGAGUAACACCUGUGGUGUAGACAGCUUACUGGACCAUUUCUGACGCUGAGACACGAAAGCGUGGGUAGCAAACAGG
This 253-nucleotide ribosomal RNA is filed under the name uncultured bacterium. RNAcentral describes it as "partial 16S ribosomal RNA". It matches the Rfam family "Bacterial small subunit ribosomal RNA", at positions 524 to 776 of the family's 1533-position model. The record is from RNAcentral.